Molecule: ribosomal RNA, 372 nt
Filed under: uncultured Sphingobacteriales bacterium
Lineage: Bacteria; Pseudomonadati; Bacteroidota; Sphingobacteriia; Sphingobacteriales
Description: bacterial SSU rRNA
Rfam family: Bacterial small subunit ribosomal RNA
Source: RNAcentral
CUUACAUCUCUUCGGAGCAUUUUACGAGGUGCUGCAUGGUUGUCGUCAGCUCGUGCCGUGAGGUGUCGGGUUAAGUCCCAUAACGAGCGCAACCCUACCUUUAGUUGCCAUCAGGUAAUGCUGGGGACUCUAAAGGAACUGCCUACGCAAGUAGUGAGGAAGGCGGGGAUGACGUCAAAUCAGCACGGCCCUUACGUCCAGGGCUACACACGUGCUACAAUGGCCGAUACAGAGGGCAGCUACCUGGUGACAGGAUGCAAAUCUCCAAAGUCGGUCUCAGUUCGGAUCGGAGUCUGCAACCCGACUCCGUGAAGUUGGAUUCGCUAGUAAUCGCGCAUCAGCCAUGGCGCGGUGAAUACGUUCCCGGGCCUU